AUUGAACGCUGGCGGCAGGCCUAACACAUGCAAGUCGAACGGUAACAGGAAGAAGCUUGCUUCUUUGCUGACGAGUGGCGGACGGGUGAGUAAUGUCUGGGAAACUGCCUGAUGGAGGGGGAUAACUACUGGAAACGGUAGCUAAUACCGCAUAACGUCUCAAGACCAAAGAGGGGGACCUUCGUGCCUCUUGCCAUCGGAUGUGCCCAGAUGGGAUUAGCUAGUAGGUGGGGUAACGGCUCACCUAGUCGACGAUCCCUAGCUGGUCUGAGAGGAUGACCAGCCACACUGGAACUUGGCCACGGUCCAGACUCCUACGGGAGGCAGCAGUGGGGAAUAUUGCACAAUGGGCGCAAGCCUGGUGCAGCCAUGCCGCGUGUAUGAAGAAGGCCUUCGGGUUGUAAAGUACUUUCAGCGGGGAGGAAGGGAGUAAAGUUAAUACCUUUGCCCAUUGACGUUACCCGCAGAAGAAGCACCGGCUAACUCCGUG
This 490-nucleotide ribosomal RNA is filed under the name uncultured bacterium. RNAcentral's name for it is "partial 16S ribosomal RNA". It matches the Rfam family "Bacterial small subunit ribosomal RNA", at positions 30 to 507 of the family's 1533-position model. The record is from RNAcentral.